Molecule: ribosomal RNA, 390 nt
Filed under: uncultured eukaryote
Lineage: Eukaryota
Description: SSU rRNA
Rfam family: Eukaryotic small subunit ribosomal RNA
Source: RNAcentral
AGCUCCAGUAGCGUAUAUUAAAGUUGUUGCAGUUAAAAAGCUCGUAGUUGGAUUUCUGGUUUGAUAUGCCUGGCCCGCCACGGUUACGUGUGUGAGUGCCGGUGCGUGUCUGCCAUCCUUCUGGAAAACGCGUCUACCCUUCACUGGGCCGGGCGCGCGAUCCAGAUCAUUUACUUUGAAAAAAUUAGAGUGUUUAAAGCAGGCUUUUUGCUAUGAAUACAUUAGCAUGGAAUAAUAAUUUAGGACUUUGGCCCUAUUUUGUUGGUUUCUAGGACUGAAGUAAUGAUUGAUAGGGAUAGUUGGGGGUGCUCGAAUUCAGCGGCCAGAGGUGAAAUUCUUGGAUUCGCUGAAGACGAACUCAUGCGAAAGCAUUCACCAAGGAUGUCUUCU